UACCGCACAGUGACACUCUGAACUUACGUGGCCUGACGAAAUCUCUAUGCUUGGCAUCGACUCGAUCGAAGCUUUUGAUGCCGGCAGAUUCUCCGGCCGGGAUAGCGCCGUUAGAUCAAUCUGAGACAGUUGAUGAAGCAACAGGUGAAAUCCUGAAUCCAUCAAGAACCCUAAAACUCUUUCUGGUAUCGGUCUUAGAGUUGACUCUGACCCCUGACCGUCCUCAUAGUACAGAUCAAAGCUGCUGCCGCUACUGUUUUCUUCAUUAUUGUUGCCGCGUAGGACGAUGACCGGGUUGAAGAAAUCAAGCUGUUGGCUGCGGGAGUUUCCCCGGCGGCGGCUUCUUCGCUGGAAACUCAAGGUUGUUCUUUGACCGGAAUCUU
RNAcentral lists this long non-coding RNA (383 nucleotides) under Citrus sinensis (sweet orange). Its description in RNAcentral is "long non-coding RNA (CSIN_LNC003670)". The record is from RNAcentral. Lineage: Eukaryota; Viridiplantae; Streptophyta; Magnoliopsida; Sapindales; Rutaceae.